Molecule: long non-coding RNA, 730 nt
Organism: Austrofundulus limnaeus
Lineage: Eukaryota; Metazoa; Chordata; Actinopteri; Cyprinodontiformes; Rivulidae
Exons: 3
Source: RefSeq, a predicted model, not a curated record
GUCAAAAAAAUCGGAUUUGGGUCGGAUUUGCCUGCAGUGUGAACGUAGCCAGAGAUUCUUGUACGACUCAUAAGAUGGAGGCUGAAAAAGGAUAAAAACAUGGGAUCAGAGAAGAUGGAAAGAUUACUGUCAAGUGUGUAUGUGUGCUGCAUGUGCGCAUUACUGGCACGGAGCCUGACUGCUCCCCUCACCACAAGGAACUCAUUGACCUGAAUCAGUGCAGAGCCGCGCCCUCCUCGGGGCUGUUGCAGAAACCCAGGAAGCCUCUGGUGGCCAAACACCGGAACUGCAAUGUACAGAUGAUCCAGGGUUGGGCAACAUUAACCUCACGAAGAGCAAUAUUGACUUAAUUAAAGCAAUAAAACGGCGUAGUCUCAUAAAAAAUCGUUUUUUUUUAAUAUAGUGAAUGUAGUUAAAUGUUAACAAUGUUGCAGAUGUCUUUUUUUUUUAUCUUUUUAAGACAAUUCUGACCUUAAAGAAGAUUAAUGUAAAACAUAUCAGUUUUGAAAUAAAUGAGGGAUUUUAUGAUAAUUAAUGUUUAAAAGCUAUAAUAAUAUUUUAUUUAUAUAUAUUUAUAUAUUUAACCCACUGGUAGAAUUAUCUGCUGUUUAAAAUAAGCAAUAAUCCUACUAACACUCAAGUUUAAAAAAAGUGCAAAAUAUGACUUUUCUAUAUGAUUUGUUGCACAGUUACAGCAAAAUAUCUUUAAUAAAAAAUACAUCAUUCCUUA